AGAAUUGAUCUGGUUCAGGAUGAACGCUAGCUACAGGCCUAACACAUGCAAGUCGAGGGGCAGCAGAUCGAAAGCUUGCUUUGAUGCUGGCGACCGGCGAAUGGGUGAGUCACGCGUGUCCAACCUGCCCUGUGCCCGGGGAUAGCCCUUGGAAAUGAGGAUUAACACCCGAUAGGUGGCGCUUCCGCAUGGCGGCGCCAUGAAACCGACACAGGAUGGGGACGCGUCGGAUUAGCUUGACGGCGGGGCGACGGCCCACCGUGGCGACGAUCCGCAGGGGUUCUGAGAGGAAGGUCCCCCACACUGGCACUGAGACACGGGCCAGACUCCUACGGGAGGCAGCAGUGAGGAAUAUUGGUCAAUGGCCGAGAGGCUGAACCAGCCAAGUAGCCGUGCAGGACGACGGCCCUACGGGUUGUAAACUGCUUUUGCGGGAGGAUAAAGGACGCCACGUGUGGCGUUUUGCAGGUAUCCCGUGAAUAAGGACCGGCUAAUUCCGUGCCAGCCGCAGC
Molecule: ribosomal RNA, 512 nt
Filed under: uncultured bacterium
Lineage: Bacteria
Description: bacterial SSU rRNA
Rfam family: Bacterial small subunit ribosomal RNA
Source: RNAcentral